RNAcentral lists this ribosomal RNA (204 nucleotides) under Triticum aestivum (bread wheat). Its description in RNAcentral is "partial small subunit ribosomal RNA". The record is from RNAcentral. Lineage: Eukaryota; Viridiplantae; Streptophyta; Magnoliopsida; Poales; Poaceae.
AUGUACGAAGCUUAUCCAGCAGUCCUACACAUGUGUAACAGCGGCAGUGGUGGCCACUUUGUUUUUCAGCUCUUCGGCAAGGGAAACCGGGAUUUGGUUCACUUCAACAUGGACAUAGGUCAAAUCCGGGUCGACUACGCCAUGAACGCCUUCAGUCGCAAGACCUUGUACUUUAGCAUCAACAGUGGUUGUUCAGGCUCAUAA